RNAcentral lists this ribosomal RNA (301 nucleotides) under uncultured bacterium. RNAcentral describes it as "partial 16S ribosomal RNA". It matches the Rfam family "Bacterial small subunit ribosomal RNA", at positions 509 to 807 of the family's 1533-position model. The record is from RNAcentral.
CAGUAGCCGCGGUAAUACGAGGGGGGCAAGCGUUGUUCGGAAUUAUUGGGCGUAAAGGGUGCGUAGGCGGUUUGGCAAGUCUUGUGUGAAAUCUUCGGGCUCAACCCGAAGCCUGCACGAGAAACUGCCGGGCUUGAGUAUUGGAGAGGUGAGUGGAAUUUCCGGUGUAGCGGUGAAAUGCGUAGAUAUCGGAAGGAACACCUGUGGCGAAAGCGGCUCACUGGACAAUAACUGACGCUGAUGCACGAAAGCUAGGGGGGCAAACAGGAUUAGAGACCCCGGUAGUCCCUGUCUCUUAUAC